This 135-nucleotide ribosomal RNA is filed under the name uncultured bacterium. RNAcentral describes it as "partial 16S ribosomal RNA". It matches the Rfam family "Bacterial small subunit ribosomal RNA", at positions 355 to 509 of the family's 1533-position model. The record is from RNAcentral.
UAGGGAAUCUUCACAAUGGGCGAAAGCCUGAUGGAGCAACGCCGCGUGCAGGAUGAAGCCUUCGGGUUGUAAACUGCUUUUAUAAGCGAGAAAUAUGAUGGUAACUUAUGAAUAAGGAUCGGCUAACUACGUGCC